Molecule: ribosomal RNA, 484 nt
Filed under: uncultured bacterium
Lineage: Bacteria
Description: partial 16S ribosomal RNA
Rfam family: Bacterial small subunit ribosomal RNA
Source: RNAcentral
AUUGAACGCUGGCGGCAUGCCUUACACAUGCAAGUCGAACGGAUGAACGGAUGUUUGCCCCUGAUGGAGCGUGGCACACGGGUGAGAAGUCCAUGAGACCAUCUGCUGGUGGGGGGGAAAGUCCGGCAACGGCCGGUAAAAUCGCGCACACCCUCUGCGAGAAAAAGGGGGGGACCUUCAGGCCUCGCGAUAUGAGGAUCCUCGAUCGGAUUAGCUAGUUGGUGGGGGAAAGGCCUACCAAGGCGACGAUCAGUAGCUGGUCUGAGAGGACGACCAGCCACACUGGGACUGAGACACGGCCCAGACUCCUACGGGAGGCAGCAGUGGGGAAUUUUGGACAAUGGGCGAAAGCCUGAUCCAGCAAUGCCGCGUGUGUGAAGAAGGCCUUCGGAUUGUAAAGCACUUUUGGCCGGAAAGAAAUCCUUUGCCCUAAUACGGUCGGGGUAUGACGGUACCGGAAGAAUAAGCACCGGCUAACUACGUG